Molecule: long non-coding RNA, 2594 nt
Filed under: Taeniopygia guttata (zebra finch)
Lineage: Eukaryota; Metazoa; Chordata; Aves; Passeriformes; Estrildidae
Description: lncRNA (ENSTGUG00000027370.1)
Source: RNAcentral
UUUUUUUUUUUUUUUUUUUUUUUUUUGUCUCAAAGUAAUGCUUAUAUCCAGUAAUGAGAGAAAAUGCAAAGUGAUAGAAAUAGGUGUUGGAGGUGAUCACACAAGUUUGCAGCCAUGUACAAGCAGGACAGAGGUGAAAUGUAGUUAACCUGCCCUGUUUGCCUUUCUGUGUUAUCUCUCCUUAAGCUGCUCCCUUGAGAUCUAAGUUGUCUGUGUAAAAGGUGGGAUAAAAUCUGAUUGUGUGAAGAAAUAAUUUUUAUUGACUGGAAGUGAAUGAUAUCAAGUAAGCCAUCCAAAGCUGGAGCCCAUUUGGAAAAUGCUGAGCUUAAUAUUUCUGUUCUGCUUUCAGUGGUUUCAAUGGCAACUGCCAGAGGCAAACUCAAGUGAGAAAUGUGCAUACUACCCACAUGUAUGUCCUCCCUAAUUUAUAAAUAUACCUGUGAGUAUACUGAUAACAGAAAACAGAUUAGUGAGAGUUGGUUUCAGGCUUGGAGAUUGAGUUUCAUGAGAAAUGCAGAUUGAAGGGAGGAAAUCUCAGGGUCGGAAGCUGGUUGUAUCAUGUGGAAGGCAAGAAACCACAAACUCGGUAGUAGAGAAGCAUUGCAGAAACAAGAAUAGAGAUGUUAAUUUAGCAACUGAAAUCAGACAUGCCAGAGAAUUUUAAAUUGUGUUUUAUUUUUAUAGAAACAAAUAGUCCACCCUGGAGCAACAGGGCCUCUGAACCCCGAAUAAUUCUAUUUUUUUCUAACUGGUUGCACUGGUGACAGCACUAUAUGUGGUGAUAGGUCCCAAAACUCCUUUGAGUUUUCCAUUUGGAAUGAAGGAGAGAAGUGGGAGGCAGCUUUACCUAAGUGCACACAGUAUGCAAUCUAUGAAUGAAUACAGAAUGAGAGCUAGAUGGGACAUUGUUCCUAGAAUAAGACCAAUACAUCCAUGCUUCAGUACUCUAAAGAGAUAAUCUUUCUCAAACUACAUGUAACAGGGGCUUGUGCUUAGAGCACAUAUCCCAAAAUCACAAAUUCCCUUGACUGUGGCUGAACUGCCUUUGUCCUGGUCUAGACAGAGCCAGACUGGGCCCAAUGCUAAGGAUUUUCAUCUGACUCUCAAAGUGCUUUCCCUCUGGUUCAGUUUUCCUUCUUGAGUUAACAUGGUCUGAAAAAAAACAGAAACAAAGACCUUGAGAAUUGUUAUUUCCAUCUUCUUUUCAACAUUUUCUUUCUGCUAGGAAGCAGGAAAAGCAUGAGGAUGACACACUUCAGUUCACACUCUCACUCCAGCUGCAAGAGCUGUAGAAGCUGGGGGCUUUGACAAGGCAGAUGUGGGGAGGCUGGACUGGGACUUGUUCCAUUGCAACUUCCCACUACAGCUGUGGGGAAAAUCCUGACUGGGGAGCCUUCAACACUGAAUAUGUGCAAGUCAGAAGGAUGUGGACAAACCUCCAGCUCACUGGCUGGAAGAAGGAAAAAUAGUUCUAGAAAUCCUAUCAACUUCCACCAGAGACCUUUGCUUCCUGGUGUAGACAGUGCAAGUUAAAAGUACAAUUGAGGGUCUGGGUUCUUUAUCUAAAGUACAAUUUUGACUGGGAAUUACUAAAAGGCAGUAAAAAUGGAAGCAUUUUAUGAUUUUUUCAGAGUCCCUUCUUGAUGAUUGUCAUUUGAGGGAUGAGAAUGUCGAAUUUGCCACGUUGCACAAAGUUAUGGCAGCUGUUCCAUAUUGCUAGAUUGGAAACUAAAAUGGAGAUCUAUUCAAAUUGUCUGACACUACCAGCAAGCUUGAAAGCAAUGCUUUAAACCAUAACAGAACUCUAAUCUGGUCCUGAGGGGUAAUCAGUAACAUUAAAAGCAAAUGUCUUUUUCCAAAUGGCCUUUAACUACUUUGUGUCUUUUCCCUUUUUUUGCUAAAUUCUGCUUUUCAUUGUAACCAUUUGAUGAAGUGAACAGAAUUUCUGAGAAUGUCAAAGACCAAAUCCUAAGUGAGAACAUUUCAGCAGGUCUAGUCUGUUAUGAUAAUAAAUAUUUUCAGGAAUGUUUAAGCUAUGCUAACCUUUAAAAAAGAAUGGAUCACAUUUCUAUUUUCUUUCUUCAUAAAUGUCCGGUGCCUGAAACUUCUUAACAGUUUCUUCAUCUAAAGAUAAGACUGGGUUUAUCUCUACCUGUAAAAGGUAAUGCAAUCUCUUAGUUUAGGAAUUUCUAGAACCUUUGCCUGUCAACACACAAUCAAAUCUAGUUUUUGAUCCUAGUGCUGCUGUUUUGGCAACACUAAUUAUAUAUAGACUAGAAAAACUCAUAAGAUAGGAAAUUGUUCUUUGAAUCACAUCUAAUUCUAGACCUGUGCUACAGAACUCAGAAUUAUCCAGUUUGAUUUGUUGUCACCAUGAAAUGUUGGUUAAAAGCAUUCAUGUUUUUAUCCAGUAAUUCUUAAUCCACAGAAAGAAUGCACUGUUGACAUCUCUGCAAUUUUUUGUUAUCCUGAAUAUGCCAGUUCAUCUCACUCAUACUGAGCAUUAAUCACUAAAUGUAGCAUUUUGUUGUGUUCAGGAAAUAUUUGAGGAGGCUUUAUAAAGGUAACCAUUAAAAAAGAACAAACAAGACCAA